Non-coding RNA from Gossypium hirsutum (cotton), 107 nucleotides. The record is from Rfam. Lineage: Eukaryota; Viridiplantae; Streptophyta; Magnoliopsida; Malvales; Malvaceae.
AACCCAUGGUGAGAGCACUGUCUCAAUAAAUCCUUUUACCUUUCCCAUACAUCAUAUAGGGUCUUUAAGUCGAUCUAAACGAAAGAAGAUAUAUCAUUCCUCAACUU